AUGUCCAACAGGGUGCGCAUUAUGUUCUGACCCUAGAUAUUAUCCAACAAAUUACUGUACAGAGUGCAAAGACGGUUACUAUGGUGACACGUGUAGUCUUUCUUGUUCCGUAGGGUGUUAUUUGAGUAAAUGCAGCCGAAGUAAUGGCACUUGUUACCAAAACAAAUGCAAACCAAAUUUCGAUGGAAACAAUUGUGAGCAAUGUUCUCGAGGACGAUUUGGAAAAGACUGCCAGUCUGCCUGUCCGGAUAAAUGUGUCUCGUGCUCUUCGGAAACGGUAUGUGACAAAUGUAGAGAUGGAUUCUGGGGCGCUAUAUGCCAAAAUAAUUGUUCGCGUGGAUGUUUAGAAGGCAUCUGCUUGAUGACGUCUGGGGCAUGCCGGGACCAUAAAUGCAAAACUGGCUUUGUUGGAGAAAAGUGCGACAGAUGCACUUCCGGAAAACAAGGUUUAGACUGUCAUGUAAAUGAGACAAUGGUUGGUGGCACGAACCACGACGCAAGUACAACAGAUUUCAACGAACAAAUUCAAUAGAAGUUACAAUGCUGUGUUCUUGUCACAGACGUUAGAAGUAGAAUGUCGCCUAUUUCGUAUAAUAUAUAUCAUAAACGCGUACACUUUGAAAUUGUUUACUCCAAGUUGCUUGUUAAUAUCUUGUAGGUUUAUUAAUGAAUAUUAAAACUUUAUGAGAAAAAUA
Long non-coding RNA from Mercenaria mercenaria, 695 nucleotides. RefSeq lists it as uncharacterized. Lineage: Eukaryota; Metazoa; Mollusca; Bivalvia; Venerida; Veneridae. The transcript is spliced from 2 exons. The record is from RefSeq and is a predicted model, not a curated record.